Molecule: ribosomal RNA, 253 nt
Filed under: uncultured bacterium
Lineage: Bacteria
Description: partial 16S ribosomal RNA
Rfam family: Bacterial small subunit ribosomal RNA
Source: RNAcentral
UACGUAGGAUGCAAGCGUUGUCCGGAAUUAUUGGGCGUAAGGAGCGCGCAGGCGGUAUGACAAGUCAGAUGUGAAAGAGGCCGGCUUAACCGGCAAGGGUCAUUUGAAACUGUCAGACUAGAGUGCAGCAGAGGAUAGUGGAAUUCCCGGUGUAGUGGUGAAAUGCGUAGAUAUCGGGAGGAACACCAGUGGCGAAGGCGACUAUCUGGGCUGCAACUGACGCUGAGGCGCGAAGGCUAGGGUAGCAAACAGG